AGAGUUUGAUCAUGGCUCAGGACGAACGCUGGCGGCGUGCCUAAUACAUGCAAGUCGAGCGAACAGAAAAGGAGCUUGCUCCUUUGACGUUAGCGGCGGACGGGUGAGUAACACGUGGGCAACCUACCCUAUAGUUUGGGAUAACUCCGGGAAACCGGGGCUAAUACCGAAUAAUCUCUUUUGCUUCAUGGUGAAAGACUGAAAGACGGUUUCGGCUGUCGCUAUAGGAUGGGCCCGCGGCGCAUUAGCUAGUUGGUGAGGUAACGGCUCACCAAGGCGACGAUGCGUAGCCGACCUGAGAGGGUGAUCGGCCACACUGGGACUGAGACACGGCCCAGACUCCUACGGGAGGCAGCAGUAGGGAAUCUUCCACAAUGGGCGAAAGCCUGAUGGAGCAACGCCGCGUGAGUGAAGAAGGUUUUCGGAUCGUAAAACUCUGUUGUAAGGGAAGAACAAGUACAGUAGUAACUGGCUGUACCUUGACGGUACCUUAUUAGAAAGCCACGGCUAACUACGUGCCAGCAGCCGCGGCAAUACGUAGGUGGCAAGCGUUGCCCGGAAUUAUUGGGCGUAA
This 574-nucleotide ribosomal RNA is filed under the name uncultured bacterium. Its description in RNAcentral is "bacterial SSU rRNA". It matches the Rfam family "Bacterial small subunit ribosomal RNA", at positions 8 to 563 of the family's 1533-position model. The record is from RNAcentral.